RNAcentral lists this transfer RNA (84 nucleotides) under Mycoplasma sp. RNAcentral's name for it is "tRNA-Tyr". It matches the Rfam family "tRNA". From Rfam's summary of the family: Transfer RNA (tRNA) molecules are approximately 80 nucleotides in length. The record is from RNAcentral. RNAcentral also lists the same sequence under 1 other name. Lineage: Bacteria; Bacillati; Mycoplasmatota; Mollicutes; Mycoplasmatales; Mycoplasmataceae.
GGAGGGGUAGCAAAGCGGCCAAAUGCGGGUGGCUGUAACCCACUUCUUUCGAGUUCGGGGGUUCGAAUCCCUCCCCCUCCACCA